UGGGGAAUAUUGGACAAUGGGGGGAACCCUGAUCCAGCCAUGCCGCGUGAGUGAAGAAGGCCUUAUGGAUGUAAAGCACUUUAAGCGAGGAGGAGGGUACUGGUAUUAAUACUACCAGGUACUGGACGUUACUCGCAGAAUAAGCACCGGCUAACUCUGUGCCAGCAGCCGCGGUAAUACAGAGGGUGCGAGCGUUAAUCGGAUUUACUGGGCGUAAAGCGUGCGUAGGCGGCUAAUUGAGUCGGAUGUGAAAUCCCCGAGCUUAACUUGGGAAUUGCAUUCGAUACUGGUUAGCUAGAGUGUGGGAGAGGAUGGUAGAAUUCCAGGUGUGGCGGUGAAAUGCGUAGAGAUCUGGAGGAAUACCGAUGGCGAGGGCAGGCAUCUGGCCUAACACUGACGCUGAGGUACGAAAGCAUGGGGAGCAAACAGG
Molecule: ribosomal RNA, 430 nt
Filed under: Pseudomonadota bacterium
Lineage: Bacteria; Pseudomonadati; Pseudomonadota
Description: Proteobacteria bacterium partial 16S ribosomal RNA
Rfam family: Bacterial small subunit ribosomal RNA
Source: RNAcentral